GACGAACGCUGGCGGCGUGCUUAACACAUGCAAGUCGAGCGGUAAGGCCCUUUCGGGGGUACACGAGCGGCGAACGGGUGAGUAACACGUGGGUGACCUGCCCUCAGCUCUGGGAUAAGCCUGGGAAACCGGGUCUAAUACCGGAUAUGACUCCAUGACGCAUGUUGUGGGGUGGAAAGCCUUGUGCGGCUGAGGAUGGGCCCGCGGCCUAUCAGCUUGUUGGUGGGGUGANGGCCUACCAAGGCGACGACGGGUAGCCGGCCUGAGAGGGCGACCGGCCACACUGGGACUGAGACACGGCCCAGACUCCUACGGGAGGCAGCAGUGGGGAAUCUUGCGCAAUGGGCGAAAGCCUGACGCAGCGACGCCGCGUGAGGGAUGACGGCCUGGUGUAACU
RNAcentral lists this ribosomal RNA (397 nucleotides) under uncultured bacterium. Its description in RNAcentral is "bacterial SSU rRNA". It matches the Rfam family "Bacterial small subunit ribosomal RNA", at positions 28 to 430 of the family's 1533-position model. The record is from RNAcentral.